This is a small nuclear RNA of Rattus norvegicus (Norway rat), 145 nucleotides long. Ensembl annotates it as U1 spliceosomal RNA. Lineage: Eukaryota; Metazoa; Chordata; Mammalia; Rodentia; Muridae. The record is from Ensembl.
ACACUUAACUGGCAGGGGAGUUACUGUGACUGAAAGGUGGAUUUCUGUGGGCGAGGCUUCUUCGGAUUGCUGACCCCUCGAUUUCCCCAAUGUGAAAUUGACCGCAUAAUUUGUGGUAGCGGAGACUUGUGAUCUCAAACUCCUC